Molecule: non-coding RNA, 96 nt
Organism: Turdus rufiventris (rufous-bellied thrush)
Lineage: Eukaryota; Metazoa; Chordata; Aves; Passeriformes; Turdidae
Source: the annotation of a GenBank genome assembly
UUGUGUGUUUGGAUGGUUGUUGGUUUGGGGGUUUUGUAUGUUUUUUGUUUUGUUGUAAAUGUGAUAAAAUUUGUGGUGCCCUAUCACAUAUACAAC